UGGCCCUUAUAGUGGGGCUACACACGUCAUACAAUGGCCGGUACAGAGGGUAGCCAACCCGCGAGGGGGAGCCAAUACCCACCAAAGCCGGUCGUAGUCCGGAUCGCAGUCUGCAACUCGACUGCGUGAAGUCGGAAUCGCUAGUAAUCGCGGAUCAGCAUGUCACGGUGAAUACGUUCCCGGGUCUU
Molecule: ribosomal RNA, 188 nt
Filed under: uncultured Allobrachymonas sp.
Lineage: Bacteria; Pseudomonadati; Pseudomonadota; Betaproteobacteria; Burkholderiales; Comamonadaceae
Description: uncultured Brachymonas sp. partial 16S ribosomal RNA
Rfam family: Bacterial small subunit ribosomal RNA
Source: RNAcentral